GUAGCUCCCAGGGAGCGACAGAUGCAGAUGAGCAAACGUUUAGCAUCUGGUGAUGCCACGUGCGGUAGAGACUAUUCUCUGCUGGGAUCUCGUGGACUCUGCAAGUUGGAGAUAAAUUGGCACAGCCGUGUGGGGAGACAGCGGGGCGGAUUCUGUGGAGGUGAAUGUUUAUGUCCCUCAUACCCGAGCAAUUGCCUUCUGGCACAUCACCCAGAAAAACGUCUUGCAUGUGAAUAUCAGGAGACGUGGGUGUGAAUGUUACUGUGAACAGUUGCACUGUUCACAAGUCCAAAAGUCUUGGAACAGCCAAAAUGGUCUUCAGCAGAGAAUGGGUUAAGGAAGUGCUGUGGUCAUGCAAAGGAACAUUGCACACAGCGGUGAGCGAGCCACAGCACGGAGCAGUGUGGCCGCGUGCUGGCAGCGCUAAGCCAAGUAGACAAGGGGGUCCCAGAAGAUCACAUCGAGCCAAUGCUCUGAAUCACCAACGGGGAAGGUGUUGCGGAGGCUGGAGACUGUGGACCUGCUGUGUAGGAACUGGAAGGCGGCACUGCUGACUGUUGCUAUGCUUCUGCUGUGCGGACAAAGCAGUUUCCCUACAAUGCGUGUGGAGCGGGGAACGGUGCACCUUCCCUGCCGAGUUGGGGAAAGUGUUACUUGAAUGGCGUGUUCGUUUUAGAGCAGGCCGGGAACCCUUGCCCCAUCCUGGCCUCUUUGCCUCCCCCUGAGGUGCCGCGUGAGCGAGCUCAUCAAUGUUACUUAUUGGUGAGAGUUAAGCAAUAAACAGCCAGUUUAAAAAAAAUCUAGAUAAUUGAUUUUGAAGUUGAAUUUUCGUGGCCUACAGAGGAAGUCCGUAAUGUGAAUUACAGGCUUUCAAAUCAAGGGACGCUGACGGGCACAGGCUGGUAUCACAUAAAUAAAACCAAAUCACUUACAAUUGUGUUGUGUAUGCUUUCCACUGUUUUAACCCUAUUAGCCAAAUCAAGCUGCAGCUCUGACUAAAACGUGUGCUGUGAAAUCACAAGUUUAUCCUACAAGGAAGCUGGAAAACACUCAGUGCCCAUCUGGAGCCUGGCUUGUGGUCACCACGGGAGAGGCUCUGCUCUUCUCUCUCAACGCUGCAACAAAAAAGAGAAGAAAUGGGCAACCAGAGGCUCAGGAGACAUCAGGAAAAUUCAGCAAAGUAGCCCUCAGGACCCGUGGGCCCUGCCCUGCCAGCUGCACUUCCUCUGGCACAUGGGCAGUGAUGGUGAUGGCGCUGCGUCUCUGUCUGCUGUGAACUUGUUCCAUCCCAGGGAUGGGGAAGGUCACUCACUCCAAGGCCAGUGUCUUGAGAUACCACCUCCCCAUAAGAAGCUUUUGAAAUACUCAGAGGCUGUUGAUGAUCAACCCUGGUUUUUGUGGCACGAGAAAGAAGUGAGCAGAACCAGGUUUAGUUUUAGGGGUUUUGCAAUGUUUUGGGCUUAGGUAAAACACUGCUAUGGAUCAAGAUUUUAGGGCCGGGUGUGGUGGCUCAUGCCUACAAUCCCAGCACUCCAAGAGGCUGAGGCAGGCGGAUCACGUGAGCCCCAGAGUUUGAGAUCAGCCUGGGCAACAUAGUGAGAUCCCUGUCUCUACAAAAAAAUAAAUAAGUAAAUUAUCUGGGUGUGGUGAUGGGCUCCUGUGGUCCCAGCUACUUUGGAGGCCAAGGCAGGAGGAUCUCUUAAGCCCAGAAGUUUGAGACUAGCCUGGACAACAUGGCGAGGCCCGUUUCUAUGACAAAUAAAUAAAUAAAUAAGCCGGGCAUGGUGGUGUGCACCUGUGGUCAUAGCACAUGGGAGGCUGAGGUGGAAGGAUUGCUCGAGCCCCGGAGGUUGGGGCUGCCAUAAGCUAUGAUUGUACCACCACACCCAGCCUGAGCAAUAGAGCGAGACUCUGUCUCAAAAAAGAAAAAAUUAAAAAAUGUUUUCGCAAACCCGACUUUCCCGGGGCUGUGGGUGAG
Long non-coding RNA from Macaca fascicularis (crab-eating macaque), 1978 nucleotides. The record is from Ensembl. NCBI's taxonomy places the organism in Eukaryota, Metazoa, Chordata, Mammalia, Primates, Cercopithecidae.